This 1436-nucleotide ribosomal RNA is filed under the name uncultured Bordetella sp. Its description in RNAcentral is "partial 16S-23S ribosomal RNA intergenic spacer". It matches the Rfam family "Bacterial small subunit ribosomal RNA". The record is from RNAcentral. Lineage: Bacteria; Pseudomonadati; Pseudomonadota; Betaproteobacteria; Burkholderiales; Alcaligenaceae.
AGUUCGAUCCUGGCUCAGAUUGAACGCUGGCGGGAUGCUUUGGCACAUGCAAGUCGAACGGCAGCACGGACUUCGGUCUGGUGGCGAGUGGCGACCGGGUGAGUAAUGUAUCGGAACGUGCCGCAGUAGGGAUAACUACGCGAAAGCAGCUAAUACCACCCUUCGGGAAAGCGGGGACCUUCGGGCCUCGCACUAGAGCGGCCGAUAUCGGAUUAGCUAGUUGGUGGGGGCAACGGCUCACCAAGGCGACGAUCCGGUUUGAGAGGACGACCAGCCACACUGGGACUGAGACAUGGCCCAGACUUACGCCGGUGGGGAGGUGCGUGGGGAAUUUUUGAUACCGGGAAACUCUGAUCCAGCCAUCCCGCGUGCGACAGGCCUUCGGGUUGUAAAGCACUUUUGGCAGGAAAGAAACGGCACGGGAUAAUACCCCGCGCAACUUGAUGGCACCUGCACAAGCACCGGCUAAUCAUGUGCCAGCAGCCGGGCAUGCAGGGCGCGUUAACCUGGGGAAUUGGGCGUAAAGGGUGCGUGGCAGGCGGUUCGGAAAAAGAAAGAUGGAAUCCAGAGCCACUUUUGAACUGCAUUUUUAACUACCGAGCUAGAGUGUGGCUGGGGAGGGAGGUGGAAUUCCGCGUGUGGCAGGAAUGCGCAGAUAUGCGGAGGAACACCGAUGGCGAAGGCAGCCUCCUGGAUAUAACACUGACGCCCAUGCACGAAAGCGUGGGGAGCAAACAGGAUUAGAUACCCUGGCAGAACUACGCCCCAAACGAUGUCAACUAGCUGGGGCCUUCGGCCUGCAGUAGCGCAGCUACGUGAAGUUGACCGCCUGGGGAGUACGGUCGCAAGAUUAAAACUCAAAGGAAUUGACGGGACCCGCACAAGCGGUGGAUGUGGAUUAAUUCGAUGCAACGCGAAAAACUCACUUACCCUGAUGUCUGGAAUCCCGAAGAGAUUUGGGAGUGUUCGGGCAGAAUCCGGAACACAGGUGCUGCACAAUGUCGUCAGCUCGUGUCGUGGAGAUGUUGGGUUAAGUCCCGCAACGAGCGCAACCCUUGUCAUUAGUUGCUACGAAAGGGCACUUAAUGAGACUGCCGGUGACAACCGGAGGAAGGUGGGGAUGACGUCAAGUCCUCAUGGCCCUUGCGGUAGGGCUUCACACGUCAUACAAUGGUCGGGACAGAGGGUCGCCAACCCAAGCAGGGGAGCCAAUCCAGAAACCCGAUCGUAGUCCGGAUCGCAGUCUGCAACUCGGACUGCGUGAAGUCGGAAUCGCUAGUAAUCGCGGAUCAGCAUGUCGCGUGAAUACGCGUUCCCGGCCCUACACCGCCCGUCACACCAUGGGAGUGGGUUUUACCAGGAAGUAGUUAGCCUAACCGUAAGGAGGGCGAUUACCACGGUAGGAUUCAUGACUGGGGUGAAGUCAACAAGGGUAG